UACGUAGGCAGCGAGCGUUGUUCGGAGUUACUGGGCGUAAAGGGUGCGUAGGCGGUUGUUUAAGUUUGGUGUGAAAUCUCCCGGCUCAACUGGGAGGGUGCGCCGAAUACUGAAUGACUAGAGUGCGGGAGAGGAGAGUGGAAUUCCUGGUGUAGCGGUGAAAUGCGUAGAUAUCAGGGGGAACACCGGUGGUGUAGACGGCUCUCUGGACCGUAACUGACGCUGAGGCACGAAAGCGUGGGUAGCAAACAGG
This 253-nucleotide ribosomal RNA is filed under the name uncultured bacterium. RNAcentral's name for it is "partial 16S ribosomal RNA". It matches the Rfam family "Bacterial small subunit ribosomal RNA", at positions 524 to 776 of the family's 1533-position model. The record is from RNAcentral.